GGCGUGUUUGAAACAUGCAAGUCGAACGGAGUGUAGCAAUACACUGAGUGGCGAACGGGUGCGUAACACGUAAAGAACCUACCCUUUAGCGGGGGAUAGCCUUGGGAAACUGGGGGUAAUACCGCAUACGCAAUGGUAAGCGCAUGCUUAUGAUUGGAAAGGCCUUCGGGUCACUAAAGGAGGGCUUUGCGGCCUAUCAGGUAGUUGGUGGGGUAAAGGCCUACCAAGCCAAAGACGGGUAGCUGGUCUGAGAGGAUGGUCAGCCACACUGGGACUGANAUACGGCCCACACUCCUACGGGGGGCAGCAGUUUAGAAUAUUGUGCAAUGGGCGAAAGCCUGACACAGCGACGCCGCGUGGGUGAUGAAGGCCUUCGGGUCGUAAAGCCCUGUNGGUANGGAUGAGAGAGGACAGUACCUACCGAGAAAGCCCCGGCUAACUAC
Molecule: ribosomal RNA, 443 nt
Filed under: uncultured bacterium
Lineage: Bacteria
Description: bacterial SSU rRNA
Rfam family: Bacterial small subunit ribosomal RNA
Source: RNAcentral